This is a long non-coding RNA of Musa acuminata AAA Group (dessert banana), 456 nucleotides long. RefSeq lists it as uncharacterized. The record is from RefSeq and is a predicted model, not a curated record. The transcript has 2 exons. Lineage: Eukaryota; Viridiplantae; Streptophyta; Magnoliopsida; Zingiberales; Musaceae.
AAGCCCCAGAGAGACAGAGACAGAGAGAGAGAGAGAGAGACAGAGGCGAUGGCGAGUACGGCGGCGGCGGUUCCAUUCUGGAGAGCGGCGGGGAUGACGUACAUCACCUACUCCAACAUCUGCGCGUCCCUCGUUCGGGGCUGCCUCAAGGAAUCCUACCGAUCAGAGGCCGCCGCCCGGGAGAAGGUUCACUUCGCAGUCUCCAAAUGGGCCAACGGCAAGCCCGAGAAGUCCUCGAUACGUUCAGAUUCACAUGCAGAAUAAGGGCUGAAGCUCUCUUCGGACUGGAUUGCUUGUCAAAUUCUCAUCCAAGUUCUUGUAGUGUCACCAGUAGCUGCUGGCAUUUUCCAGGUUGCAGGAAAUAAAAGUGUUUGAUCAAGUUGGUACAUCUGAAACCACUGGCCUUUGGGAAUUAACCAACUUUCAAUUUUAAUAUAAUAAGAUUUCAAUGUGCAA